AUAUGUGUCUACUUGCUCUAGCGCAUAUCUUGACGUAUCGCAGAACAUCAUGCCGUAUGGAGUAAUUGUUGUUCUUCCUUGCUUCGGAUUGUAAAAUUCCAUUUCUUUCUUUUUGCGAUAGCUUUUGGGUGUAUACUUGUCAUAUAUUACAGUCUUAAACUAUUCCCACGUUAAAUUUCCUAACUACUCAAUUGUCAUUGUCUUCCUCCUUGCUUCCCACCAUAAGUCAGCUGAAAGGAUACGCAAGUAAGACGUUCCAGAUCUGUGCAGCGCAAGAAAUUGAAGAUGCGCUCACUAGCUUGUACCCAAGUCUCAGCCUUUGUUGGAUCUCCUAUCCUAUCGAAGACAGGUGGGUUUCCUCGUAGAAAUAGUUCUUCUAUUCUACGUUUUUGUUGUAUGGUUAGUGGCGUUAUAUUGUUCUAGCCAUGGUACUGGGCCUUUUUCAUUAUCUCGUGGAAUUCUUCCUCUUCUUCUCGGACUCCCUUGUUUUGGUGGCGUACUGAUGAGUUGACACGUAGUCAUCAAUACAUACAUAUGCAUAUCAUCACUUCUGUAAACCGUUUCUUGAUUCUCAAAUCUUGCUCGCACUCUUCCUCGUGCAAGCAUAUAAGUAAAAUGUGGCGGAAGUGACUUGCCGCAAAAGAUC
RNAcentral lists this long non-coding RNA (646 nucleotides) under Salvia miltiorrhiza (redroot sage). RNAcentral's name for it is "long non-coding RNA (SMIL_LNC003481)". Lineage: Eukaryota; Viridiplantae; Streptophyta; Magnoliopsida; Lamiales; Lamiaceae. The record is from RNAcentral.